RNAcentral lists this ribosomal RNA (450 nucleotides) under uncultured bacterium. RNAcentral describes it as "bacterial SSU rRNA". It matches the Rfam family "Bacterial small subunit ribosomal RNA", at positions 354 to 796 of the family's 1533-position model. The record is from RNAcentral.
GUAGGGAAUCUUCGGCAAUGGGGGCAACCCUGACCGAGCAACGCCGCGUGAGUGAAGAAGGUUUUCGGAUCGUAAAGCUCUGUUGUAAGAGAAGAACGUGUGUGAGAGUGGAAAGUUCACACAGUGACGGUAACUUACCAGAAAGGGACGGCUAACUACGUGCCAGCAGCCGCGGUAAUACGUAGGUCCCGAGCGUUGUCCGGAUUUAUUGGGCGUAAAGCGAGCGCAGGCGGUUUAAUAAGUCUGAAGUUAAAGGCAGUGGCUUAACCAUUGUUCGCUUUGGAAACUGUUAGACUUGAGUGCAGAAGGGGAGAGUGGAAUUCCAUGUGUAGCGGUGAAAUGCGUAGAUAUAUGGAGGAACACCGGUGGCGAAAGCGGCUCUCUGGUCUGUAACUGACGCUGAGGCUCGAAAGCGUGGGGAGCAAACAGGAUUAGAUACCCUUGUAGUCC